GGCUGGUCCAAAGGUAAUGAGUUACCUCAAUUGAUUGUUCACAGUCAGUUGUAGAUCAAACUCCUCAUUCUAGUCUUCCCCCCACCUCACUACAGCACUUGACUAGUCUUAA
This 112-nucleotide Y RNA is filed under the name Prolemur simus (greater bamboo lemur). RNAcentral's name for it is "Y RNA (ENSPSMG00000022697.1)". It matches the Rfam family "Y RNA". Rfam says of the family: Y RNAs are components of the Ro ribonucleoprotein particle (Ro RNP), in association with Ro60 and La proteins. The record is from Rfam by way of RNAcentral. Lineage: Eukaryota; Metazoa; Chordata; Mammalia; Primates; Lemuridae.